RNAcentral lists this ribosomal RNA (183 nucleotides) under uncultured bacterium. RNAcentral describes it as "partial 16S ribosomal RNA". It matches the Rfam family "Bacterial small subunit ribosomal RNA", at positions 1317 to 1500 of the family's 1533-position model. The record is from RNAcentral.
UGCAUGAAGUCGGAAUUGCUAGUAAUCGCGGAUCAGCAUGCCGCGGUGAAUACGUUCCCGGGCCUUGUACACACCGCCCGUCACACCAUGGGAGCCGGUAAUACCCGAAGUCAGUAGUCCAACCUCGUGAGGACGCUGCCGAAGGUAGGAUUGGCGACUGGGGUGAAGUCGUAACAAGGUACC